Molecule: ribosomal RNA, 465 nt
Filed under: Vreelandella stevensii
Lineage: Bacteria; Pseudomonadati; Pseudomonadota; Gammaproteobacteria; Oceanospirillales; Halomonadaceae
Description: partial 16S ribosomal RNA
Rfam family: Bacterial small subunit ribosomal RNA
Source: RNAcentral
CCUACGGGUGGCAGCAGUGGGGAAUAUUGGACAAUGGGCGAAAGCCUGAUCCAGCCAUGCCGCGUGUGUGAAGAAGGCCUUCGGGUUGUAAAGCACUUUCAGUGGGGAAGAAAGCCUUGGGGCUAAUACCCUCGAGGAAGGACAUCACCCACAGAAGAAGCACCGGCUAACUCCGUGCCAGCAGCCGCGGUAAUACGGAGGGUGCGAGCGUUAAUCGGAAUUACUGGGCGUAAAGCGCGCGUAGGCGGUCUGAUAAGCCGGUUGUGAAAGCCCCGGGCUCAACCUGGGAACGGCAUCCGGAACUGUCAGGCUAGAGUGCAGGAGAGGAAGGUAGAAUUCCCGGUGGAGCGGGGAAAUGCGUAGAGGUCGGGAGGAAUACCAGUGGCGAAGGCGGCCUUCUGGACUGACACUGACGCUGAGGUGCGAAAGCGUGGGUAGCAAACAGGAUUAGAUACCCGAGUAGUC